CCUACGGGAGGCAGCAGUGAGGAAUAUUGGUCAAUGGGCGGGAGCCUGAACCAGCCAAGUCGCGGGAGGGAAGAAGGUACGGAGUAUGGUAAACCUCGUUUGCCAGGGGACAAAGGCGGCCACGGGUGGCCGUAAGAGGGUACCUGGAGAAAAAGCAUCGGCUAACUCCGUGCCAGACGCCGCGGUAAUACGGGGGAUGCGAGCGUUAUCCGGAUUUAUUGGGGUAAAAGGGUGCGCGGGCGGUGUGUCAAGUCAGCGGUAAAAUGUCGGGGCUCAACCCCGGCCGGCCGUUGAAACUGGCGUGCGCGAGUUGGCGAGAAGUAUGCGGAAUUCGUGGUGUAGCGGUGAAAUGCAUAGAUAUCACGAAGAACCCCGAUUGCGAAGGCAGCAUACC
RNAcentral lists this ribosomal RNA (394 nucleotides) under uncultured bacterium. RNAcentral describes it as "partial 16S ribosomal RNA". It matches the Rfam family "Bacterial small subunit ribosomal RNA", at positions 338 to 730 of the family's 1533-position model. The record is from RNAcentral.